Molecule: long non-coding RNA, 1577 nt
Organism: Lepus europaeus (European hare)
Lineage: Eukaryota; Metazoa; Chordata; Mammalia; Lagomorpha; Leporidae
Exons: 3
Source: RefSeq, a predicted model, not a curated record
AGAGCUCAUCGAAGUGGUUCACCGUGGGAGCUGAGAUGCUCCCUAAAGACCCACCCUAGACCGAAGCCAGAGAGGCAAAGGGGCGACAGCAGGGUCCGUGUGGCCGUGUCACGGAGCAAAGCCACCAGACUGGGAUGGAGCUUUUGGAGUUGAGACUUCAUAAAAAUGCCUUUGCUCUCGGUUGCCAUGGCUGUGCGGUGUGAGCCUCUUUCUAUCCAUGAGCUCAUGGUGUCUCCCAGGCGGCUGACCGUGAGGAGAGAUGGUCUCUUGGGCUCCUUGCUCCCGGGAAGCCCUUCUCAUGCUAGGGGUCAGAGCCCCCAGGAGACUUCCUCAAGCUCUCUGCACCUGCCAGACUUGAUGGGGACAAUCUUUACCGUCUGUCACCUGCUCCAUUUGUAAAGCCUGUCCCCUCGCCCUGAGAGACAGCCGACCCGGAAGAGUUCCCACGGACUUAACCUCUGCCUCAGUUACUUGUAUCCAUGCAAUGGGUGUAACGGGGAGAAGAUGAGGUCAUUCAGCCUGCGGGUGGAACACGUGGGAACCAAAACAACACCUGCCCGUACAUCCAAGAGGGUCUCGCCUCUACUUACCUCGUUCCCCACCCUGUUCUCACCCUACUGGUUCUCUCACCAGUUAAUGGCGCUGGGGUUGUCCACUCUGUUGCCUCCACUACUGCCACUCCCACCCCACAUCCAAUCCCUCGCUCACCCCUCCUAUCAUAACCCCAGUUCAUGCCACAGGCCACCGGCACCUUUCACAUGGGUUGUGCGAUGCUCUCCUGGCGAGGCCAAGGCAACUUUGGCUGGCAGACAAGGUCAUGGCAGAAGGUCUGUCUCAGCACGGCCUGAGAAGGACAGCUGCGGCCCUCUUGGUGGUUUUAGGUUUGUUGGGAACUGCACUCUGGGUAAGAAAGCCAGAGCUUCCUGGUAGUCCGGCUAAUGAUCGCUGUAUUCAUAAUUUUAGGGAAGAACGCUUAGUCUCAUUAUCCCCAAAAUGCCCAUUGCUUUGUAGAAUUUUAAUCAAGCAGAAUGUUAGUGUAGGAGAAAGGGUUAAUGCUUUAUGCAAGGUUGAGCUGUUUGUGGAAAAGAAUUAAAAGGCAACAGGCUCCCUGGUAUAGACUUCCCAAUAGAAUAAAGAUAAAUGUUAUUAAAGCUUUAAUUCUAUAUAUGCUACAAAUACAACAAUGGUUAGGAUGUCAAAACUGUAGAAUAGACCUAAGUGAACCUUAAAUAAGUACAAUAAAGAAAUUAAAGAAUUGCAAAAAGAACUGCAGAGAGGGGAUUUUAAAAAGGGCUUGCAUUGAACUUGGGGCUUCUAGUAAAGAAUAGAUUAGGAAGGUACUAUGCUAGCUGGUGUAGCCAAUUUCUGCAUAACUCAACAGCACUCCAAGCCUUGGCUUGUGUGGGCAGCCCGUUAUCUCACACCUGUCUGUGAUUGUAACCCAUGUCCUGAAUAUGCCCUUGAAAAUCAAAGAAGUUGUAAUUUUAAAAAAAUGGACAACAGACAUGUUAUUGUGAGAAAAAAGAAUCAUUAUGUGGCUUAGGAUAUAAAAAUAAAGUCUGGUGCUCUAGAGCCGG